UACGUAGGGGGCUAGCGUUGUCCGGAAUCAUUGGGCGUAAAGAGCGCGUAGGCGGCCCGGUAAGUCCGCUGUGAAAGUCAAAGGCUCAACCUUUGAAUGUCAGCGGAUACUGCCGGGCUAGAGUCCGGAAGAGGCGAGUGGAACUCCUGGUGUAGCGGUGGAAUGCGCAGAUAUCAGGAAGAACACCAAUGGCGAAGGCAGCUCUCUGGGACGGUACUGACGCUGAGACGCGAAAGCGUGGGGAGCGAACAGG
RNAcentral lists this ribosomal RNA (253 nucleotides) under uncultured bacterium. Its description in RNAcentral is "partial 16S ribosomal RNA". It matches the Rfam family "Bacterial small subunit ribosomal RNA", at positions 524 to 776 of the family's 1533-position model. The record is from RNAcentral.